Long non-coding RNA from Pan paniscus (pygmy chimpanzee), 934 nucleotides. The record is from Ensembl. Lineage: Eukaryota; Metazoa; Chordata; Mammalia; Primates; Hominidae.
AAUGUCACUAUAUUUCUGAAGAUUCCUUCAACUGCUCCAGCCAAAUGUAAUUUCACCUUCCUGCAAGUUCUCACAGAUCUUUACUUCUCAUUUUCAUCUCUAUAUCAGCUUCUCUUAGUACUCGUACUGUUUGUAAGCUUGAUUUUGUUUUGGUUUUGUAUUAGGCAACAUCAUUGCAACAAGUCACACUUUGAGAACUCAAGAGAAUAUGUUUGUUCUGAAAAUCCGGGAAUUAUUGCCAACCCAUGGUUGUCUCCAUAUGUCUUGGGAAAAAUAGGAAAAAGAUUUUUUGAGUUGGUGCUGUCUCAGUGGAAUAGUCAACCAAUGUAUCCUACAUUUUGGACCAGCAGAAGGAAGUAAUGAGAACGGAAAACAAAUAAGAAGUGAGUUGGAGGGAGAAGGAGACUUUAGCAUCUUCCUGAAAUCAGGAAGAAAGUUUCAAGAAUAAAGUAAUCCAUAGGGUCAAAUACUGCAGUAAGUUUAAGUAGGAUGAAGACUGCAAAGAUGGUAUUAGUUUGGUACUUAGGACAUUGGUGACCUCCACAGGUGACCUUCAGGAGAAUUAUCUGGGGAACUUGUUGAUAGAAUUUGUGAAUCUCCACCUUUAGGGAUUCUGAUUUAGAAGGAGUAGGAAGAAGGCCUUAGGAUCUCCAUUUAUAACAACCACUACUGAUUAUUUUGAGGCAGGUAGCAUACAGACCACAUUUUAAAGAAACACUAGGUAAGUGUGAUUUUCAUUCAAAGGACAAAAAACAUAAAGUUACCUAAUUCAGGGACCAUUUCAAAGACCAAAUCAAAUCAGUAGCCUGGCUGAUCUGAUCGACUGUGCAGAAACUAGCCAUUACCAUGGCAAAGUGGGGAGGAACAGUCAAUAAAAAGCAAUUGAUUUAUUGUUCAUAUGUAAGAUGAAUGUAGACAUGGAUUUUGUUUCAAG